RNAcentral lists this ribosomal RNA (377 nucleotides) under uncultured bacterium. RNAcentral's name for it is "bacterial SSU rRNA". It matches the Rfam family "Bacterial small subunit ribosomal RNA", at positions 523 to 898 of the family's 1533-position model. The record is from RNAcentral.
AUACGUAGGUGGCGAGCGUUGUCCGGAAUUACUGGGCGUAAAGGGCGCGCAGGCGGCGCGUUAAGUCCGGGGUGAAAUCCAUCGGCUCAACCGGUGGGGGACCUUGGAUACUGGCGCACUGGAGUGCGGGAGAGGGACGCGGAAUUCCACGUGUAACGGUGAAAUGUAUAGAUAUGUGGAGGAACACCGGUGGCGAAGGCGGCUUCCUGGACCGUAACUGACGCUGAGGCGCGAAAGCUGGGGGAGCGAACCGGAUUAGAUACCCUGGUAGUCCCAGCCGUAAACCAUGAACACUAGGUGUGGGGGGUAUCGACCCCUUCCGUGCCGCAGCCAACGCAAUAAGUAUCCCGCCUGGGGAGUACGGUCGCAAGGCUGAA